RNAcentral lists this non-coding RNA (31 nucleotides) under Mus musculus (house mouse). The record is from RNAcentral. Lineage: Eukaryota; Metazoa; Chordata; Mammalia; Rodentia; Muridae.
UACGAGCUGUAAGCCUAGACUGGGCAUGUUU